CCCUUAGAUGUUCUGGGCCGCACGCGCGCUACACUGACGGAGGCAGCGAGCAUGUCCUUCGCCGAGAGGUGUGGGGAAUCUUGUGAGUCUCCGUCGUGCUGGGGAUAGAUGGUUGCAAUUGUCGAUCUUGAACGAGGAAUUCCUAGUAAGCGCGAGUCAUCAGCUCGCGCUGAAUACGUCCCUGCCCUUUGUACACACCGCCCGUCGCUCCUACCGAUCGAAGAGUUAGGUGAAUUGUUUUGAUCGAUAAGAUUUGACUAUGGUCAACUCUCGUUGUGAAAUUCUGUGAAUCUGACUGUUUAGAGGAAGGAAAAGUCGUAACA
RNAcentral lists this ribosomal RNA (323 nucleotides) under uncultured eukaryote. RNAcentral describes it as "partial 18S ribosomal RNA". It matches the Rfam family "Eukaryotic small subunit ribosomal RNA", at positions 1470 to 1796 of the family's 1831-position model. The record is from RNAcentral.